CAGCCGCCACGGGAAUACAGAGGGUGCAAGCGUUAAUCGGAAUUACUGGGCGUAAAGCGCGCGUAGGUGGUUUGUUAAGUUGGAUGUGAAAGCCCUGGGCUCAACCUGGGAACUGCAGUGGAUACUGGGUCACUAGAGUGUGGUAGAGGAUAGUGGAAUUUCCGGUGUAGCAGUGAAAUGCGUAGAGAUCGGAAGGAACAUCUGUGGCGAAGGCGACUAUCUGGGCCAACACUGACACUGAGGCACGAAAGCGUGGGGAGCAAACAGGAUUAGAUACCCGCGUAGUCCCUGUCUCUUAUAC
RNAcentral lists this ribosomal RNA (301 nucleotides) under uncultured bacterium. RNAcentral describes it as "partial 16S ribosomal RNA". It matches the Rfam family "Bacterial small subunit ribosomal RNA", at positions 509 to 807 of the family's 1533-position model. The record is from RNAcentral.